GUCGGGCGUUGGGUUUCGCGGCGCUCGCCGCACUGGUUGUUCAGCACCUUCGGUCCGGUUGAGGUUGUCAAGUCGGACCAAACAGGUUGUUUCUCUGCAGUUUCCAACAUGGCAGGGAGGUUUAAUAGACAUGGAUAAGAAGUCCACUCACAGAAAUCCUGAAGAUGCCAGGGCUGGCAAAUAUGAAGGUAAACACAAACGAAAGAAAAGAAGAAAGCAAAACCAAAACCAGCACCGAUCCCGACAUAGAUCAGUGACGUCUUUUUCUUCAGAUGAUCCUAUGUUUCCUUCUUCCUCAUCAUCGUCUUCAGGAAGCCAGACAGAUUCAAGUAUUGAAGAUGCUGCCAAGGGAAAAAUUAAGAAGAAGAGAAGAGAGAAAACAAAUAAAUGGGAAAAAAGAAAGGGGCAUCAUGGAUCCUAACAACGUGUGAUGUCUCCCCCGGACGCCCAGCUUUAAAAUUUCUCUUUUGUACUCUGUCCCUUUAUUUCUCAAGCCAGCCGACGCUUAGGAAAAUAGAAAAGAACCUACAUGAUUAUCGGGGCAGGUCCCCCGAUAUCUGGCGCCCACGUGGUCUUUCUUUUUUCCUAAGUGCAUGAGGGAACCCGAUUCCCUUUGGUAGGUGCGGUGAAACAUCAAUCGGCUUGGUCCACAGAUAAGCGUGUUCAACUCCCCGACGAGUGGACAAAAUAUGAAACACCAAGAAAAAGAGAAGGAAAAAAAGGAGGAAACAACCACAUAUGUCACCUUUCCAAGAGGGACUGAAACUGGGCUGACCCUUUUGAUUUCCAAGCUCAGCGUUUUGGUGUAAGGCGGCCAAAGAAGGAUGCGGAGCCCAGCACUGUGAAGCCUACAAAAACAUUGAUGCGCUGGCUUGGGGAUUUGAAUUUGAACAUCUUUCACACUAAGUUCAGACUCAUGAAACCAAUCUUCAGAUGCUCUGUAAACCACAUAAUAAAGAGUUUGGAAAUUAUAUUUUGUUUUUGAAGGCCCACGUGCAAAACUUG
RNAcentral lists this long non-coding RNA (1005 nucleotides) under Homo sapiens (human). RNAcentral describes it as "non-protein coding LINC00467:7". The record is from RNAcentral. Lineage: Eukaryota; Metazoa; Chordata; Mammalia; Primates; Hominidae.